ACCUUGGAUGGUGUAUGUCUGUUCAUCGUCAUGGUAAUGCAAUUGGGGAGAACCCAAAUCUCCAGAUCCUCGGGGCUGAGAAAACCAGCGACCUGUUCUGUAUGGGGCAAUCGCAAUUCACAAUUGACACGCAGACAGUUGGACCCUGGUUGUAAAUAAUUGAUUGAGGGUCUUUGGGAUCGCCCAUUUGAAGGGUUCGAAGGGAAGAUAACCUAAAAGGGUGCGGACCUGCUAAGGCUCAAGGAUCUUUUCGAAUCGGGUUCAUAAGAAACUAGGGACUCGGUGGCGGCGAGCCGAAUUUCAAACUACUGUUGCGUGAUGCAAGGGCAAACAGAUGGGCGGGAAUAACAAAUAAUAAGGGGUGAAAGUAAAAAUGUAAAAUCACAAAUAAUACGAG
This 397-nucleotide small RNA is filed under the name Histoplasma capsulatum. Its description in RNAcentral is "hypothetical RNA". Lineage: Eukaryota; Fungi; Ascomycota; Eurotiomycetes; Onygenales; Ajellomycetaceae. RNAcentral also lists the same sequence under 1 other name. The record is from RNAcentral.